Molecule: ribosomal RNA, 425 nt
Filed under: uncultured bacterium
Lineage: Bacteria
Description: partial 16S ribosomal RNA
Rfam family: Bacterial small subunit ribosomal RNA
Source: RNAcentral
GUGAGGAAUAUUGGACAAUGGGCGCAAGCCUGAUCCAGCCAUGCCGCGUGAGUGAUGAAGGCCUUAGGGUUGUAAAGCUCUUUCGUCCGGGAAGAUAAUGACUGUACCGGAAGAAUAAGCCCCGGCUAACUUCGUGCCAGCAGCCGCGGUAAUACGAAGGGGGCUAGCGUUGUUCGGAAUCACGUGGCGUAAAUCGCACGUAGGCGGACCAUUAAGUCAGGGGUGAAAGCCUGGAGCUCAACUCCAGAACUGCCUUUGAUACUGAUGGUCUCGAGUAUGGAAGAGGUUGGUGGAACUGCGAGUGUAGAGGUGAAAUUCGUAGAUAUUCGCAAGAACACCGGUGGCGAAGGCGGCCAACUGGUCCAUUACUGACGCUGAGGUGCGAAAGCGUGGGGAGCAAACAGGAUUAGAUACCCGGGUAGUCC